AGCGAACGCUGGCGGCAGGCCUAACACAUGCAAGUCGAACGAACCUUUCGGGGUUAGUGGCGGACGGGUGAGUAACACGUGGGAACGUGCCUUUAGGUUCGGAAUAACUCAGGGAAACUUGUGCUAAUACCGAAUGUGCCCUUCGGGGGAAAGAUUAAUCGCCUUUAGAGCGGCCCGCGUCUGAUUAGCUAGUUGGUUGAGGUAAUGGCGCACCAAGGCGAAGAUCAGUAGCUGGGCUGAGAGGAUGAUCAGCCACAUUGGGACUGAGACACGGCCCAAACUCCUACGGGAGGCAGCAGUGGGGAAUCUUGCGCAAUGGGCGAAAGGCUGACGCAGCCAUGCCGCGUGAAUGAUGAAGGUCUUAGGAUUGUAAAAUUCUUUCACCGGGGACGAUAAUGACGGUACCCGGAGAAGAAGCCCCGGCUAACUUCGUG
Molecule: ribosomal RNA, 434 nt
Filed under: uncultured bacterium
Lineage: Bacteria
Description: partial 16S ribosomal RNA
Rfam family: Bacterial small subunit ribosomal RNA
Source: RNAcentral